Molecule: ribosomal RNA, 950 nt
Filed under: Bacillus pumilus
Lineage: Bacteria; Bacillati; Bacillota; Bacilli; Caryophanales; Bacillaceae
Description: bacterial SSU rRNA
Rfam family: Bacterial small subunit ribosomal RNA
Source: RNAcentral
CUGUAAGACUGGGAUAACUCCGGGAAACCGGAGCUAAUACCGGAUAGUUCCUUGAACCGCAUGGUUCAAGGAUGAAAGACGGUUUCGGCUGUCACUUACAGAUGGACCCGCGGCGCAUUAGCUAGUUGGUGGGGUAAUGGCUCACCAAGGCGACGAUGCGUAGCCGACCUGAGAGGGUGAUCGGCCACACUGGGACUGAGACACGGCCCAGACUCCUACGGGAGGCAGCAGUAGGGAAUCUUCCGCAAUGGACGAAAGUCUGACGGAGCAACGCCGCGUGAGUGAUGAAGGUUUUCGGAUCGUAAAGCUCUGUUGUUAGGGAAGAACAAGUGCGAGAGUAACUGCUCGCACCUUGACGGUACCUAACCAGAAAGCCACGGCUAACUACGUGCCAGCAGCCGCGGUAAUACGUAGGUGGCAAGCGUUGUCCGGAAUUAUUGGGCGUAAAGGGCUCGCAGGCGGUUUCUUAAGUCUGAUGUGAAAGCCCCCGGCUCAACCGGGGAGGGUCAUUGGAAACUGGGAAACUUGAGUGCAGAAGAGGAGAGUGGAAUUCCACGUGUAGCGGUGAAAUGCGUAGAGAUGUGGAGGAACACCAGUGGCGAAGGCGACUCUCUGGUCUGUAACUGACGCUGAGGAGCGAAAGCGUGGGGAGCGAACAGGAUUAGAUACCCUGGUAGUCCACGCCGUAAACGAUGAGUGCUAAGUGUUAGGGGGUUUCCGCCCCUUAGUGCUGCAGCUAACGCAUUAAGCACUCCGCCUGGGGAGUACGGUCGCAAGACUGAAACUCAAAGGAAUUGACGGGGGCCCGCACAAGCGGUGGAGCAUGUGGUUUAAUUCGAAGCAACGCGAAGAACCUUACCAGGUCUUGACAUCCUCUGACAACCCUAGAGAUAGGGCUUUCCCUUCGGGGACAGAGUGACAGGUGGUGCAUGGUUGUCGUCAGCUCGUGU